CCUACGGGUGGCUGCAGUGAGGAAUAUUGGUCAAUGGGCGUAAGCCUGAACCAGCCAAGUCGCGUGAGGGAUGAAGGUUCUAUGGAUCGUAAACCUCUUUUAUAAGGGAAUAAAGUGUGGGACGUGUCCUAUUUUGUAUGUACCUUAUGAAUAAGGAUCGGCUAACUCCGUGCCAGCAGCCGCGGUAAUCCGGAGGAUCCGAGCGUUAUCCGGAUUUAUUGGGUUUAAAGGGUGCGUAGGCGGCCUUGUAAGUCAGCGGUGAAAGUCCGUGGCUCAACCAUAGAAUUGCCGUUGAAACUGGGAGUCUUGAGUAUGUGAGAGGGAGGCGGAAUGCGUGGUGUAGCGGUGAAAUGCUUAGAUAUCGCGCAGAACCCCGAUUGCGAAGGCAGCCUGCCAGGCCAUCACUGACGCUGAGGCACGAAAGCGUGGGGAUCGAACAGGAUUAGAUACCCUAGUAGUC
Molecule: ribosomal RNA, 460 nt
Filed under: uncultured bacterium
Lineage: Bacteria
Description: partial 16S ribosomal RNA
Rfam family: Bacterial small subunit ribosomal RNA
Source: RNAcentral